GGCGCCAUGGCUUAGUUGGUCAAAGCGCCUGUCUAGUAAACAGGAGAUCAUGAGUUUAAAUCUCACCGGUGCCU
Molecule: transfer RNA, 74 nt
Filed under: Rhipicephalus microplus (southern cattle tick)
Lineage: Eukaryota; Metazoa; Arthropoda; Arachnida; Ixodida; Ixodidae
Description: tRNA-Thr
Rfam family: tRNA
About the family: Transfer RNA (tRNA) molecules are approximately 80 nucleotides in length. Their secondary structure includes four short double-helical elements and three loops (D, anti-codon, and T loops). Further hydrogen bonds mediate the characteristic L-shaped molecular structure. tRNAs have two regions of fundamental functional importance: the anti-codon, which is responsible for specific mRNA codon recognition, and the 3' end, to which the tRNAs corresponding amino acid is attached (by aminoacyl-tRNA synthetases). tRNAs cope with the degeneracy of the genetic code in two manners: having more than one tRNA (with a specific anti-codon) for a particular amino acid; and 'wobble' base-pairing, i.e. permitting non-standard base-pairing at the 3rd anti-codon position.
Source: Rfam by way of RNAcentral